AAUUGAACAAAAACAGCAGGUGUCAGAUAAAACGGAUGUUUUGAUCUGGUGAAAAGGGAAACAGGUGUGAAUCCUGUACGAACUCGUCACUGUAUUUAGGGAGCGCAUGCCGCAGACGUCACUGGGAGACCGGGAAGACAGGCAUUGUGUGUGGAUCUAUGAGCCAGGAGACCUGCCUGCUGUGGUGUACAGGG
Molecule: non-coding RNA, 194 nt
Filed under: Roseburia sp. CAG:182
Lineage: Bacteria; Bacillati; Bacillota; Clostridia; Lachnospirales; Lachnospiraceae
Also listed under: 1 other name
Source: RNAcentral